This 668-nucleotide ribosomal RNA is filed under the name uncultured bacterium. Its description in RNAcentral is "bacterial SSU rRNA". It matches the Rfam family "Bacterial small subunit ribosomal RNA", at positions 93 to 740 of the family's 1533-position model. The record is from RNAcentral.
GAGUGGCAAACGGGUGAGUAACGCGUGGGUGACCUGCCUUCGAGUGGGGGAUAACGUUCCGAAAGGGACGCUAAUACCGCAUGACAUCCGGCCUUUGAAGAGGCGGAGAUCAAAGCUGGGGAUCGCAAGACCUAGCGCUCGAUGAGGGGCCCGCGUCUGAUUAGCUAGUUGGUGGGGUAACGGCUCACCAAGGCAACGAUCAGUAUCCGGCCUGAGAGGGCGGACGGACACACUGGGACUGAGACACGGCCCAGACUCCUACGGGAGGCAGCAGUGGGGAAUUGUUCGCAAUGGGCGCAAGCCUGACGACGCAACGCCGCGUGGAGGAUGAAGAUCUUCGGGUCGUAAACUCCUUUCGAUCGAGACGAACAGCCUUCGGGUAAACAAUCCGGAGGUCUGACGGUACCGAGAGAAGAAGCCCCGGCUAACUCCGUGCCAGCAGCCGCGGUAAUACGGGGGGGGCAAGCGUUGUUCGGAAUUACUGGGCGUAAAGGGCUCGUAGGCGGCCAACUAAGUCAGACGUGAAAUCCCUCGGCUUAACCGGGGAACUGCGUCUGAUACUGGAUGGCUUGAGUUUGGGAGAGGGAUGCGGAAUUCCAGGUGUAGCGGUGAAAUGCGUAGAUAUCUGGAGGAACACCGGUGGCGAAGGCGGCAUCCUGGACCAACAC